UAAUCUGCGAUAAGCGCCGGUAAGGUGAUAUGAACCGUUAUAACCGGCGAUACCCGAAUGGGGAAACCCAGUGUGAUUCGUCACACUAUCAUUAACUGAAUCCAUAGGUUAAUGAGGCGAACCGGGGGAACUGAAACAUCUAAGUACCCCGAGGAAAAGAAAUCAACCGAGAUUCCCCCAGUAGCGGCGAGCGAACGGGGAGGAGCCCAGAGCCUGAAUCAGCAUGUGUGUUAGUGGAAGCGUCUGGAAAGGCGCGCGAUACAGGGUGACAGCCCCGUACACAAAAGCGCAUGUGCUGUGAGCUCGAUGAGUAGGGCGGGACACGUGGUAUCCUGUCUGAAUAUGGGGGGACCAUCCUCCAAGGCUAAAUACUCCUGACUGACCGAUAGUGAACCAGUACCGUGAGGGAAAGGCGAAAAGAACCCCGGCGAGGGGAGUGAAAAAGAACCUGAAACCGUGUACGUACAAGCAGUGGGAGCCCCACCACCAAAGCAUUUGCUGUACCGCGUUGACGGAGCGAAGCGACGUCAAACCGAUAAAACAGCAGUGUAAAGUGAGCCGCAGGGCGCUUUGCGCGACAGCGCAAAGGCAGGCGGUUUCGCGUAGCGAAAGCGAAUGCUUUGGGGUGGGGUGACUGCGUACCUUUUGUAUAAUGGGUCAGCGACUUAUAUUCUGUAGCAAGGUUAACCGAAUAGGGGAGCCGGAGGGAAACCGAGUCUUAAUUGGGCGUUAAGUUGCAGGGUAUAGACCCGAAACCCGGUGAUCUAGCCAUGGGCAGGUUGAAGGUUGGGUAACACUAACUGGAGGACCGAACCGACUAAUGUUGAAAAAUUAGCGGAUGACCUGUGGCUGGGGGUGAAAGGCCAAUCAAACCGGGAGAUAGCUGGUUCUCCCCGAAAGCUAUUUAGGUAGCGCCUCGUGAAUUCAUCUCCGGGGGUAGAGCACUGUUUCGGCUAGGGGGCCAUCCCGGCUUACCAACCCGAUGCAAACUGCGAAUACCGGAGAAUGUUAUCACGGGAGACACACGGCGGGUGCUAACGUCCGUCGUGAAGAGGGAAACAACCCAGACCGCCAGCUAAGGUCCCAAAGUCAUGGUUAAGUGGGAAACGAUGUGGGAAGGCCCAGACAGCCAGGAUGUUGGCUUAGAAGCAGCCAUCAUUUAAAGAAAGCGUAAUAGCUCACUGGUCGAGUCGGCCUGCGCGGAAGAUGUAACGGGGCUAAACCAUG
RNAcentral lists this ribosomal RNA (1227 nucleotides) under Salmonella enterica subsp. enterica serovar Enteritidis. RNAcentral describes it as "partial 23S ribosomal RNA". It matches the Rfam family "Bacterial large subunit ribosomal RNA", at positions 62 to 1191 of the family's 2925-position model. The record is from RNAcentral. Lineage: Bacteria; Pseudomonadati; Pseudomonadota; Gammaproteobacteria; Enterobacterales; Enterobacteriaceae.